This 235-nucleotide unclassified non-coding RNA is filed under the name plant metagenome. Its description in RNAcentral is "partial contains small subunit ribosomal RNA, internal transcribed spacer 1, and 5.8S ribosomal RNA". The record is from RNAcentral.
UUUCCGUAGGUGAACCUGCGGAAGGAUCAUUAACGAGUACGGAUCAUUCUUGACCGACCUCAAACCCAUUGUUUAAUUACUAUGUUGCUAGGGCGGGCCCGUUUCACGACCGCCGGAAGCCCGCGGACCUCUCGCCCGUGCCCGCCAAUAGCCUUCUACAAACACUUGAUCAAUUUUGAUGUGUGAGUAAUAACUUUAAUAGUUAAAACUUUCAACAACGGAUCUCUUGGUUCUG